UGGGGAAUAUUGCGCAAUGGGCGAAAGCCUGACGCAGCGACGCCGCGUGGGGGAUGAAUGCCUUCGGGUUGUAAACCCCUUUCAGCAGGGACGAAGCGCAAGUGACGGUACCUGCAGAAGAAGCGCCGGCUAACUACGUGCCAGCAGCCGCGGUAACACGUAGGGCGCAAGCGUUGUCCGGAAUUAUUGGGCGUAAAGAGCUCGUAGGCGGUCCGUCACGUCUGCUGUGAAAAUCCAGGGCUCAACCCUGGACUUGCAGUGGAUACGGGCGGACUAGAGGUAGGUAGGGGAGAAUGGAAUUCCUGGUGUAGCGGUGAAAUGCGCAGAUAUCAGGAGGAACACCGGUGGCGAAGGCGGUUCUCUGGGCCUUACCUGACGCUGAGGAGCGAAAGCGUGGGGAGCGAACAGGAUUAGAUACCCCCGUAGUCC
This 429-nucleotide ribosomal RNA is filed under the name uncultured bacterium. RNAcentral's name for it is "bacterial SSU rRNA". It matches the Rfam family "Bacterial small subunit ribosomal RNA", at positions 355 to 796 of the family's 1533-position model. The record is from RNAcentral.